GCCGCUGUGGCUUAGUGGUAUAGCGAUUGAUUCGUAAUCAGUAGGUCGGGGGUUCAAAUCCCUCCAGCGGCU
This 72-nucleotide transfer RNA is filed under the name Candidatus Methanomethylophilaceae archaeon. RNAcentral describes it as "tRNA-Thr". It matches the Rfam family "tRNA". Rfam says of the family: Transfer RNA (tRNA) molecules are approximately 80 nucleotides in length. Their secondary structure includes four short double-helical elements and three loops (D, anti-codon, and T loops). Lineage: Archaea; Methanobacteriati; Thermoplasmatota; Thermoplasmata; Methanomassiliicoccales; Methanomethylophilaceae. The record is from RNAcentral.